UACGGAGGGUGCGAGCGUUGUCCGGAAUCAUUGGGCGUAAAGGGCGCGUAGGUGGCGCGGCAAGCGUGCGGUGAAAGCUCGGGGCUCAACCCCGAGUCGGCCGUGCGAACUGCCGCGCUCGAGCACUGUAGAGGCAGGCGGAAUUCCGGGUGUAGCGGUGGAAUGCGUAGAGAUCCGGAAGAACACCGGUGGCGAAGGCGGCCUGCUGGGCAGUGGCUGACACUGAGGAGCGAAAGCGUGGGUAGCAAACAGG
RNAcentral lists this ribosomal RNA (253 nucleotides) under uncultured bacterium. Its description in RNAcentral is "partial 16S ribosomal RNA". It matches the Rfam family "Bacterial small subunit ribosomal RNA", at positions 524 to 776 of the family's 1533-position model. The record is from RNAcentral.